RNAcentral lists this non-coding RNA (24 nucleotides) under Arabidopsis thaliana (thale cress). Lineage: Eukaryota; Viridiplantae; Streptophyta; Magnoliopsida; Brassicales; Brassicaceae. The record is from RNAcentral.
UCAGUGUCUUUCUCAUCUGUUGAC